RNAcentral lists this ribosomal RNA (2933 nucleotides) under Escherichia coli. RNAcentral describes it as "23S ribosomal RNA". It matches the Rfam family "Bacterial large subunit ribosomal RNA". The record is from RNAcentral. Lineage: Bacteria; Pseudomonadati; Pseudomonadota; Gammaproteobacteria; Enterobacterales; Enterobacteriaceae.
GGGUUGUGAGGUUAAGCGACUAAGCGUACACGGUGGAUGCCCUGGCAGUCAGAGGCGAUGAAGGACGUGCUAAUCUGCGAUAAGCGUCGGUAAGGUGAUAUGAACCGUUAUAACCGGCGAUUUCCGAAUGGGGAAACCCAGUGUGAUUCGUCACACUAUCAUUAACUGAAUCCAUAGGUUAAUGAGGCGAACCGGGGGAACUGAAACAUCUAAGUACCCCGAGGAAAAGAAAUCAACCGAGAUUCCCCCAGUAGCGGCGAGCGAACGGGGAGCAGCCCAGAGCCUGAAUCAGUGUGUGUGUUAGUGGAAGCGUCUGGAAAGGCGCGCGAUACAGGGUGACAGCCCCGUACACAAAAAUGCACAUACUGUGAGCUCGAUGAGUAGGGCGGGACACGUGGUAUCCUGUCUGAAUAUGGGGGGACCAUCCUCCAAGGCUAAAUACUCCUGACUGACCGAUAGUGAACCAGUACCGUGAGGGAAAGGCGAAAAGAACCCCGGCGAGGGGAGUGAAAAAGAACCUGAAACCGUGUACGUACAAGCAGUGGGAGCACAGAGCAAUCUGUGUGACUGCGUACCUUUUGUAUAAUGGGUCAGCGACUUAUAUUCUGUAGCAAGGUUAACCGAAUAGGGGAGCCGAAGGGAAACCGAGUCUUAACUGGGCGUUAAGUUGCAGGGUAUAGACCCGAAACCCGGUGAUCUAGCCAUGGGCAGGUUGAAGGUUGGGUAACACUAACUGGAGGACCGAACCGACUAAUGUUGAAAAAUUAGCGGAUGACUUGUGGCUGGGGGUGAAAGGCCAAUCAAACCGGGAGAUAGCUGGUUCUCCCCGAAAGCUAUUUAGGUAGCGCCUCGUGAAUUCAUCUCCGGGGGUAGAGCACUGUUUCGGCAAGGGGGUCAUCCCGACUUACCAACCCGAUGCAAACUGCGAAUACCGGAGAAUGUUAUCACGGGAGACACACGGCGGGUGCUAACGUCCGUCGUGAAGAGGGAAACAACCCAGACCGCCAGCUAAGGUCCCAAAGUCAUGGUUAAGUGGGAAACGAUGUGGGAAGGCCCAGACAGCCAGGAUGUUGGCUUAGAAGCAGCCAUCAUUUAAAGAAAGCGUAAUAGCUCACUGGUCGAGUCGGCCUGCGCGGAAGAUGUAACGGGGCUAAACCAUGCACCGAAGCUGCGGCAGCGACGCUUAUGCGUUGUUGGGUAGGGGAGCGUUCUGUAAGCCUGCGAAGGUGUGCUGUGAGGCAUGCUGGAGGUAUCAGAAGUGCGAAUGCUGACAUAAGUAACGAUAAAGCGGGUGAAAAGCCCGCUCGCCGGAAGACCAAGGGUUCCUGUCCAACGUUAAUCGGGGCAGGGUGAGUCGACCCCUAAGGCGAGGCCGAAAGGCGUAGUCGAUGGGAAACAGGUUAAUAUUCCUGUACUUGGUGUUACUGCGAAGGGGGGACGGAGAAGGCUAUGUUGGCCGGGCGACGGUUGUCCCGGUUUAAGCGUGUAGGCUGGUUUUCCAGGCAAAUCCGGAAAACUAAGGCUGAGGCGUGAUGACGAGGCACUACGGUGCUGAAGCAACAAAUGCCCUGCUUCCAGGAAAAGCCUCUAAGCAUCAGGUAACAUCAAAUCGUACCCCAAACCGACACAGGUGGUCAGGUAGAGAAUACCAAGGCGCUUGAGAGAACUCGGGUGAAGGAACUAGGCAAAAUGGUGCCGUAACUUCGGGAGAAGGCACGCUGAUAUGUAGGUGAAGUCCCUCGCGGAUGGAGCUGAAAUCAGUCGAAGAUACCAGCUGGCUGCAACUGUUUAUUAAAAACACAGCACUGUGCAAACACGAAAGUGGACGUAUACGGUGUGACGCCUGCCCGGUGCCGGAAGGUUAAUUGAUGGGGUUAGCGCAAGCGAAGCUCUUGAUCGAAGCCCCGGUAAACGGCGGCCGUAACUAUAACGGUCCUAAGGUAGCGAAAUUCCUUGUCGGGUAAGUUCCGACCUGCACGAAUGGCGUAAUGAUGGCCAGGCUGUCUCCACCCGAGACUCAGUGAAAUUGAACUCGCUGUGAAGAUGCAGUGUACCCGCGGCAAGACGGAAAGACCCCGUGAACCUUUACUAUAGCUUGACACUGAACAUUGAGCCUUGAUGUGUAGGAUAGGUGGGAGGCUUUGAAGUGUGGACGCCAGUCUGCAUGGAGCCGACCUUGAAAUACCACCCUUUAAUGUUUGAUGUUCUAACGUUGACCCGUGAUCCGGGUUGCGGACAGUGUCUGGUGGGUAGUUUGACUGGGGCGGUCUCCUCCUAAAGAGUAACGGAGGAGCACGAAGGUUGGCUAAUCCUGGUCGGACAUCAGGAGGUUAGUGCAAUGGCAUAAGCCAGCUUGACUGCGAGCGUGACGGCGCGAGCAGGUGCGAAAGCAGGUCAUAGUGAUCCGGUGGUUCUGAAUGGAAGGGCCAUCGCUCAACGGAUAAAAGGUACUCCGGGGAUAACAGGCUGAUACCGCCCAAGAGUUCAUAUCGACGGCGGUGUUUGGCACCUCGAUGUCGGCUCAUCACAUCCUGGGGCUGAAGUAGGUCCCAAGGGUAUGGCUGUUCGCCAUUUAAAGUGGUACGCGAGCUGGGUUUAGAACGUCGUGAGACAGUUCGGUCCCUAUCUGCCGUGGGCGCUGGAGAACUGAGGGGGGCUGCUCCUAGUACGAGAGGACCGGAGUGGACGCAUCACUGGUGUUCGGGUUGUCAUGCCAAUGGCACUGCCCGGUAGCUAAAUGCGGAAGAGAUAAGUGCUGAAAGCAUCUAAGCACGAAACUUGCCCCGAGAUGAGUUCUCCCUGACUCCUUGAGAGUCCUGAAGGAACGUUGAAGACGACGACGUUGAUAGGCCGGGUGUGUAAGCGCAGCGAUGCGUUGAGCUAACCGGUACUAAUGAACCGUGAGGCUUAACCUUACAACGCCGAAGGUGUUU